RNAcentral lists this ribosomal RNA (254 nucleotides) under uncultured bacterium. RNAcentral describes it as "partial 16S ribosomal RNA". It matches the Rfam family "Bacterial small subunit ribosomal RNA", at positions 524 to 776 of the family's 1533-position model. The record is from RNAcentral.
UACGGGGGGAGCAAGCGUUGUUCGGAUUUACUGGGCGUAAAGGGCGCGUAGGCGGUCAGCACAAGUCAGUUGUGAAAUCUCCGGGCUUAACUCGGAAAGGUCAACUGAUACUGUGCGACUAGAGUGCAGAAGGGGCAACUGGAAUUCUCGGUGUAGCGGUGAAAUGCGUAGAUAUCGAGAGGAACAUCUGCGGCGAAGGCGGGUUGCUGGGCUGACACUGACGCUGAUGCGCGAAAGCCAGGGGAGCGAACGGG